RNAcentral lists this ribosomal RNA (305 nucleotides) under uncultured bacterium. RNAcentral's name for it is "partial 16S ribosomal RNA". It matches the Rfam family "Bacterial small subunit ribosomal RNA", at positions 505 to 807 of the family's 1533-position model. The record is from RNAcentral.
ACAGCAGUCGCCACGGGAAUACGGAGGGUGCAAGCGUUAAUCGGAAUUACUGGGCGUAAAGCGCACGCAGGCGGUUUGUUAAGUCAGAUGUGAAAUCCCCGAGCUUAACUUGGGAACUGCAUUUGAAACUGGCAAGCUAGAGUCUUGUAGAGGGGGGUAGAAUUCCAGGUGUAGCGGUGAAAUGCGUAGAGAUCUGGAGGAAUACCGGUGGCGAAGGCGGCCCCCUGGACAAAGACUGACGCUCAGGUGCGAAAGCGUGGGGAGCAAACAGGAUUAGAUACCCCUGUAGUCCCUGUCUCUUAUAC